Molecule: ribosomal RNA, 1028 nt
Filed under: uncultured bacterium
Lineage: Bacteria
Description: bacterial SSU rRNA
Rfam family: Bacterial small subunit ribosomal RNA
Source: RNAcentral
GCAAGUCGAGGGGUAACAGGAGAAAGCUUGCUUUUUCGCUGACGACCGGCGCACGGGUGCGUAACGCGUAUGCAACCUACCCUGUACUGGGGAAUAGCCCGGAGAAAUCCGGAUUAAUGCCCCAUAGUAUCAUUCUUUCGCCUGAUAGAAUGAUUAAAGGUUACGGUACAGGAUGGGCAUGCGUCCCAUUAGCUAGAUGGUAAGGUAACGGCUUACCAUGGCAACGAUGGGUAGGGGGCCUGAGAGGGUGAUCCCCCACACUGGUACUGAGACACGGACCAGACUCCUACGGGAGGCAGCAGUGAGGAAUAUUGGACAAUGGAGGCAACUCUGAUCCAGCCAUGCCGCGUGCAGGAAGAAUGCCCUAUGGGUUGUAAACUGCUUUUAUUUGGGAAUAAACCUCCUUACGUGUAGGGAGCUGAAUGUACCAAAAGAAUAAGGAUCGGCUAACUCCGUGCCAGCAGCCGCGGUAAUACGGAGGAUCCAAGCGUUAUCCGGAAUUAUUGGGUUUAAAGGGUCCGCAGGCUGUUUGUUAAGUCAGAGGUGAAAUCCUACCGCUCAACGGUAGAACUGCCUUUGAUACUGGCAAACUUGAGUUAUUGUGAAGUAGUUAGAAUGUGUAGUGUAGCGGUGAAAUGCAUAGAUAUUACACAGAAUACCGAUUGCGAAAGCAGAUUACUAACAAUAUACUGACGCUGAGGGACGAAAGCGUGGGUAGCGAACAGGAUUAGAUACCCUGGUAGUCCACGCCGUAAACGAUGGUCACUAGCUGUUCGAUGUACAUUGGUACGUUGAGUGGCUAAGCGAAAGUGAUAAGUGACCCACCUGGGGGAGUACGCUCGCAAGGAGUGAAACUCAAAGGAAUUGACGGGGGCCCGCACAAGCGGUGGAGCCAUGGUGGUUUAAAUCGAUGAUACGCGAGGAACCCUUAACAGGGACUUAAUGUAGGUGCAUGAUCAGAAUUGAAUUCUUUCUUCGGACUACUUACAAGGUGCCUUGCAAUGGUGUCCGUCAGCCUCGUGCAGGAG